UUACCGAAGCUGUGGAUUGUCCUUUGGACAAUGGUAGGAGAGCGUUCUAAGGGCGUUGAAGCAUGAUCGUAAGGACAUGUGGAGCGCUUAGAAGUGAGAAUGCCGGUGUGAGUAGCGAAAGACGGGUGAGAAUCCCGUCCACCGAUUGACUAAGGUUUCCAGAGGAAGGCUCGUCCGCUCUGGGUUAGUCGGGUCCUAAGCUGAGGCCGACAGGCGUAGGCGAUGGAUAACAGGUUGAUAUUCCUGUACCACCUAUAAUCGUUUUAAUCGAUGGGGGGACGCAGUAGGAUAGGCGAAGCGUGCGAUUGGAUUGCACGUCUAAGCAGUAAGGCUGAGUAUUAGGCAAAUCCGGUACUCGUUAAGGCUGAGCUGUGAUGGGGAGAAGACAUUGUGUCUUCGAGUCGUUGAUUUCACACUGCCGAGAAAAGCCUCUAGAUAGAAAAUAGGUGCCCGUACCGCAAACCGACACAGGUAGUCAAGAUGAGAAUUCUAAGGUGAGCGAGCGAACUCUCGUUAAGGAACUCGGCAAAAUGACCCCGUAACUUCGGGAGAAGGGGUGCUCUUUAGGGUUAACGCCCAGAAGAGCCGCAGUGAAUAGGCCCAAGCGACUGUUUAUCAAAAACACAGGUCUCUGCUAAACCGUAAGGUGAUGUAUAGGGGCUGACGCCUGCCCGGUGCUGGAAGGUUAAGAGGAGUGGUUAGCUUCUGCGAAGCUACGAAUCGAAGCCCCAGUAAACGGCGGCCGUAACUAUAACGGUCCUAAGGUAGCGAAAUUCCUUGUCGGGUAAGUUCCGACCCGCACGAAAGGCGUAACGAUUUGGGCACUGUCUCAACGAGAGACUCGGUGAAAUCAUAGUACCUGUGAAGAUGCAGGUUACCCGCGACAGGACGGAAAGACCCCGUGGAGCUUUACUGUAGCCUGAUAUUGAAAUUCGGCACAGCUUGUACAGGAUAGGUAGGAGCCUUUGAAACGUGAGCGCUAGCUUACGUGGAGGCGCUGGUGGGAUACUACCCUAGCUGUGUUGGCUUUCUAACCCGCACCACUUAUCGUGGUGGGAGACAGUGUCAGGCGGGCAGUUUGACUGGGGCGGUCGCCUCCUAAAAGG
This 1106-nucleotide ribosomal RNA is filed under the name Staphylococcus aureus. Its description in RNAcentral is "bacterial LSU rRNA". It matches the Rfam family "Bacterial large subunit ribosomal RNA", at positions 1191 to 2297 of the family's 2925-position model. Lineage: Bacteria; Bacillati; Bacillota; Bacilli; Caryophanales; Staphylococcaceae. The record is from RNAcentral.